GGAAGGAUCAUUAACAAAUCGUGUUUGUCCAUGCUACCCUUUACCGGGUGCUGGACUAACAUUAAUCCCGGGGGCAACCCCGGAUGAUAUGUACGAAAAGUGAGAAUUGUGAGCAAAACUAUACAAACUUUUAACAACGGAUCUCUUGGCUCCUGCAUCGAUGAAGAACGCAGCAAAGUGCGAAAUGUAAUGCGAUUUGCAACUUCUGUGAGUCAUCGAGUCUUUGAACGCAUAUUGCACCAAGUGCGCAAGCACCUGGUAUGCCUGUUUGAGAAUCAUUUAAAAAUUAUUGUCCUUGUGACGAGUUGUGCCCCAGAAAUGUGGCAUCGAGUGUUGUGCUGAUGUGUCAAGUAUUCAUCAUUCUCAUCCUUCUAAACACAUGAUCUCAAAUCAGGCAAGACUACCCGCUGAACUUAAGCAUAUCAGUAAGCGGAGGAAAAGAAACUAACUAGGAUUCCCUCAGUAACGGCGAGUGAACCGGGAAAAGCUCAAAUUUUAAAUCUGGAAGCCUCGCUUCCCGAAUUGUAGUUUAAAGAUAAAUGCCAUGGGGCGCUGCUGGCCGUGCAAGUCUCCUGGAAUGGGGCGUCACAGAGGGUGAGAAUCCCGUCUGACGGUUGGCAGCGUUCCGCAGCGCUUGUCAAAGAGUCGAGUUGUUUGGGAAUGCAACUCAAAAUGGGUGGUAAAUUUCAUCUAAGGCUAAAUAUAGGCAGGAGACCGAUAGCAAACAAGUACCGUGAGGGAAAGAUGAAAAGCACCUUGAAAAGGGGGUGAAAUAGUGCGUGAAAUUGUUAAAAGGGAAACGAUUGGAACCAGUAUUGUCGCAAGACAAGUCAGCGUCGGCUGCGAGCUCGUGACUAGGCCCUCCGGAAGAUGACGUUGCUUGCAACGUUUUACAGACGGGGGAAUCCAGGCGGGCCGUCUUCCGAUCAAGUGUGCUCUACCCAGUGGUUGACCGAUUCUCGAGUGUUUGGAGCUGUGCACGCACCGCCCGAUCGCCCGGGGACCGCUAUGCCACUGCAUGUACACGUGCUGGUGAGGUGGUUCCAAACGACCCGUCUUGAAACACGGACCAAGGAGUCUAACGUAUAUGCGAGUAUUUGGGUGGCAAGCCCGAAUGCGCAACGAAAGUAACCGAUAGGAUGCUUCGGCAGCACUAUUGGCCAGCCGUCCUCGGACGUGCUGAGUGUGAGCAUAUCUGUUGGGACCCGAAAGAUGGUGAACUAUGCCUGAAUAGGGUGAAGCCAGAGGAAACUCUGGUGGAAGCUCGUAGCCGUUCUGACGUGCAAAUCGAUGGUCAAAUUUGGGUAUAGGGGCGAAAGACUAAUCGAACCAUCUAGUAGCUGGUUCCCUC
Molecule: unclassified non-coding RNA, 1351 nt
Filed under: uncultured fungus
Lineage: Eukaryota; Fungi
Description: sequence contains 18S rRNA gene, ITS1, 5.8S rRNA gene, ITS2, 28S rRNA gene
Rfam family: Eukaryotic large subunit ribosomal RNA (bases 381-1351)
Source: RNAcentral